CGGGCCCGGGCGGGGCCGAGCGCUGUCAGCGGUGCCGGGGUCGCUGGGGCUUUCGGGACAGCCGUGAGGGGCUUUGGGGACGCCCGUGAGGGGAAAGGCUGCGAUCUUGGGGGUCUGAGGAUGGCGGACACCCGUGAGGGGUUCAGAGGGCUCCCAGAUCUUUAGCUGGGCUAAAGGGGAAUCUGCUGACAAGGUGCUGAAAACUCCAGGCUUGGGCUGUUUUCACCUGCCAGCCCAAGUAUUCUACGAAACAAACCUGAUCAACUUGCUAAAUCAGGCUCUGACAACUCCUUACAGAAAGGUAAGAGGGAGGAAGUGGUGGAAGCAGGAGCUGUGCAUUGUGCCACCCGAGUGCCACUGUCCCCAGGGCCACCUGUCCCUGCCAGGAGCAGCAAGGUGAGGAGCAGCCAGGUUUAAUUCCAGAAGGAAACAUUCCAGCUCCUGAGUGCCACUGUCCCCAAAGCCAGGAGGAUCAAGGUGGACAAAAGAGGAGGAGCAGCCAGGUUCAAUUCCAGAAGGAAACAUUCCAGCUCCUGUCACUGUCCCCAGAGCCAUGUGUCCUGUCCCUGCUAGGAGCAGCAAGGUGAGGAGCAGCCAGGUUCAAUUCCAGAAGGAAACAUUCCAGCUCCUGUCACUGUCCCCAGAGCCACCUGUCCCCAAAGCCAAGAGGAGCAGGGUGGGCACAAGGUGAGGAGCAGCCAGGUUCAAUUCCAGAAGGAAACAUUCCAGCUCCUGAGUGCCACUGUCCCCAAAGCCAGGAGGAUCAAGGUGGGCACAAGGUGAGGAGCAGCCAGGUUUAAUUCCAGAAGGAAACAUCCCAGCUCCUGUCACUGUCCCCAGAGCCCCCUGUCCCUGCCAGGGGAGCAAGGUGAGGAGCAGCCAGGUUUAAUUCCAGAAGGAAACAUUCCAGCUCCUGUGGAACUCGUGGGGUCUGGGGGCUGAGUGUCCGUGGGGCGUCUGUUGGCGCCACUUAAACCACGCUGGAAUAUUUUGGGUUUUUCCUGGAAACCCAACGCCCUCAGGAGGAGAAAUGCCAAGUUGGCCGUUGUCUCUUUGGCAGAGGCUGUUCCUUUAUCCUGUGGGGAACGUCCCAG
Onychostruthus taczanowskii (white-rumped snowfinch) is the source of this 1094-nucleotide long non-coding RNA. RefSeq lists it as uncharacterized. Lineage: Eukaryota; Metazoa; Chordata; Aves; Passeriformes; Passeridae. The record is from RefSeq and is a predicted model, not a curated record. The transcript is spliced from 4 exons.